AGUGAACGCUGGCGGUAGGCCUAACACAUGCAAGUCGAACGGCAGCGCAGUAAGAGCUUGCUCUUACGGGUGGCGAGUGGCGGACGGGUGAGGAAUACAUCGGAAUCUACUUUUUCGUGGGGGAUAACGUAGGGAAACUUACGCUAAUACCGCAUACGACCUACGGGUGAAAGCAGGGGAUCUUCGGACCUUGCGCGAUUGAAUGAGCCGAUGUCGGAUUAGCUAGUUGGCGGGGUAAAGGCCCACCAAGGCGACGAUCCGUAGCUGGUCUGAGAGGAUGAUCAGCCACACUGGAACUGAGACACGGUCCAAACUCCUACGGGAGGCAGCAGUGGGGAAUAUUGGACAAAGGGCGCAAGCCUGAUCCAGCCAUACCGCGUGGGUGAAGAAGGCCUUCGGGUUGUAAAGCCCUUUUGUUGGGAAAGAAAAGCAGCAGGUUAAUACCCCGCUGUUCUGACGGUACCCAAAGAAUAAGCACCGGCUAACUUCGUG
RNAcentral lists this ribosomal RNA (492 nucleotides) under uncultured bacterium. RNAcentral describes it as "partial 16S ribosomal RNA". It matches the Rfam family "Bacterial small subunit ribosomal RNA", at positions 29 to 507 of the family's 1533-position model. The record is from RNAcentral.